Molecule: ribosomal RNA, 335 nt
Filed under: uncultured bacterium
Lineage: Bacteria
Description: bacterial SSU rRNA
Rfam family: Bacterial small subunit ribosomal RNA
Source: RNAcentral
AGAGUUUGAUUCUGGCUCAGGAUGAACGCUAGCUACAGGCUUAACACAUGCAAGUCGAGGGGCAGCGGGAUUGAAGCUUGCUUCAAUUGCCGGCGACCGGCGCACGGGUGAGUAACGCGUAUCCAACCUUCCGUACACUCAGGGAUAGCCUUUCGAAAGAAAGAUUAAUACCUGAUGGUAUGAUGAGAUUGCAUGAUAGCAUCAUUAAAGAUUUAUCGGUGUACGAUGGGGAUGCGUUCCAUUAGGUAGUAGGCGGGGUAACGGCCCACCUAGCCAACGAUGGAUAGGGGUUCUGAGAGGAAGGUCCCCCACAUUGGAACUGAGACACGGUCCAA